This 271-nucleotide ribosomal RNA is filed under the name uncultured bacterium. Its description in RNAcentral is "partial 16S ribosomal RNA". It matches the Rfam family "Bacterial small subunit ribosomal RNA", at positions 82 to 353 of the family's 1533-position model. The record is from RNAcentral.
CUGGAGAUGGCGACCGGCGCACGGUGAGUAACACGUAUCCAACCUGCCGAUAACUCGGGGAUAGCCUUUCGAAAGAAAGAUUAAUACCCGAUGGCAUAAUAGAACCGCAUGGUUUGAUUAUUAAAGAAUUUCGGUUAUCGAUGGGGAUGCGUUCCAUUAGGCAGUUGGUGGGGUAACGGCCCACCAAACCUUCGAUGGAUAGGGGUUCUGAGAGGAAGGUCCCCCACAUUGGAACUGAGACACGGUCCAAACUCCUACGGGAGGCAGCAUG